UACGUAGGGGGCGAGCGUUAUCCGGAUUCAUUGGGCGUAAAGAGCGCGUAGGCGGCUUGUUAAGCGAGAUGUGAAAACCGGGGGCUCAACCCGCGGCCUGCAUCUCGAACUGGCAGGCUUGAGUCUGGUAGAGGAGUGUGGAAUUCCCAGUGUAGCGGUGAAAUGCGCAGAUAUUGGGAGGAACACCAGUGGCGAAGGCGGCACUCUGGGCCACGACUGACGCUGAGGCGCGAAAGCUAGGGGAGCGAACAGG
Molecule: ribosomal RNA, 253 nt
Filed under: uncultured bacterium
Lineage: Bacteria
Description: partial 16S ribosomal RNA
Rfam family: Bacterial small subunit ribosomal RNA
Source: RNAcentral